This 19-nucleotide microRNA is filed under the name Mus musculus (house mouse). RNAcentral describes it as "mmu-miR-599". Its record names the gene mmu-miR-599. Lineage: Eukaryota; Metazoa; Chordata; Mammalia; Rodentia; Muridae. The record is from miRBase by way of RNAcentral.
UUGUGUCAGUUUAUCAAAC